Long non-coding RNA from Asparagus officinalis (garden asparagus), 180 nucleotides. RefSeq lists it as uncharacterized. Lineage: Eukaryota; Viridiplantae; Streptophyta; Magnoliopsida; Asparagales; Asparagaceae. The transcript is spliced from 3 exons. The record is from RefSeq and is a predicted model, not a curated record.
CUGUCCUUUCCUCUUCAGACGACCUCGACAAGUUCCACAGAGAACUUCAACUGUGGUGAAUCAAGGUUUUGAUGUGUCACUGUCAGAUGCCAGUAGUGUUUUUGAUUCCAUAAAGUCGCUUAGUCAAAGUGAUGGAAGAUGGCGAUAUGAUUCUAGCAGUGCUGAAUCCAGCACUUAUGU